UGAGGCAAGGGUGCCCUCGCUCAGGCGGCGACAACAACCUCUUCCCGCUGGACGUCGUCACCCCGGCAAAGUUCGACAACCUCUACUUCAAGAACAUUUUGGCCGGCAAGGGGCUUCUCAGCUCAGACGAAGUCCUGCUCACCAAGAGCGCCGAGACGGCGGCGCUGGUGAAGGCGUACGCGGAUGAUGUGGGUCUCUUCUUCCAGCACUUUGCGCAGUCGAUGGUGAACAUGGGCAACAUCAUGCCACUGACAGGGUCGCAAGGGGAGGUCAGGAAGAACUGCAGGAGGCUCAACAACUAUCACUGAGCAGCCCGUUACUGAAAAGCUCCAUGCUUUAAUUUGUGUGCUGAAUUGUACUGCGUGGAGUUGGUGGCUUCUUUAUUUUAUUUUGGAAUAAACAAUGUGUGUGCUUGUGUUAUUUAUUCAUAUUGGUUCAGUGAGCUCCAACUUCCAAAUCGUGCACUGGUCGGUCCUUCAGAAGAAGAAGAAAAAAAUGACACUUUAAAACUUUGAGAAACAAAUAGUAUUACAAAAAUGUUACUAAAUGAUUCUGCAAUAAAAUGCAAACUUACAAUUUUUUGGAUCAAAUGAUUCACACUUUAUCCCGCAAUAUACAUUGUUAUGAUUUCUUUAAGAAAAAUUGAAGUAUGGUUUUCGAAUUGUUAUUUUCCAAAUUGGUUGCAGCUGUUGUAAAACUCCUGAGUUAUAAUUGAGGAAGAGAAAAGUUUCAUCUGAAAAAGUAGUACUCCCUCUUUUCCGGUUUAUGGGCCCUUACACAUCCAUAGGUUGAAGAUUUAACUAGUAUAACACGGGUCUUAUAUCACAAAAAUUAUACCAUUAGAAACUUCGGAUGUUUUAUUUUCUAAUGAUAUAAUUUUUCUGAUAUAAAAUUCAUAUUACAUUAGUUAAGUUUUUAACCUAAAAAUGCGUGAGCCCCCCUUAAAUCGGAAUGGAGUUAGUAGUACUUACUUUAUUAAAGGUCACUUCCGUUUGACCUUUCCUUCUUUUUGGGAAGUCGAAGCUUAUAAGAAUCCAGAUCAAUAUCAAUUUCUAGGUUCCGUUAGACCUGUCUUCGGCCGACCAUUUCUUUAGUCACUGCUUUCUCUUUUUACAAAAAGAAUUCAUGACCCGUAUAGCUUCCAUUGUUUGAUGCACACAAAUAUAAUUUUAUUAUUAUCAUGUCUUACAAGUGAGUUGGAACAAAAAGUCGAGCAGUUGCACCCCAAUAGCCAAAAAGUCGUCUUGCACCUCUGACACUUGGUGAUAACCAAGCACAAAUUCAGCGUGACGUUAGAUGGAUAACCUGCAAAAAAAAAAAACUUGCGAUACCAACACAUAUACAACAUUCUCUGAAUAAGCGCUUGUAAUGACCUACUUAACCCCAUUAGCCACUUCCUAAACAAAUUAGAAAUACUGUUGGAGGCAAAUCCGGAUGUUACCACAACAGUUUACCGAAAAUUCUUGUAGUUGCGGGAUCUUAUUAUAUGAUAACCAUAUAUCAACUAGUACGUAAUGCAGGCGCAAAUUUGUAUUUCCUAGUACUAAAAUGAUUUAUUUUUGUUUUGAGGACAAGAUGGAAAAUGGUCAUUCGAUUAGAGAGCUAAAGGGUAAAAACAUAUAGGGUAUAGCCAUUCUACUCCCAAAUAGACAGUGCAAAGGAGUUUACUGAUAAAACUAUCACGAACUGUCUGGAUGAGGCCGGACGAGUGAGCCGUCAUCAAGGCUUGGUUCACUGGCAACAAUUUUCACGUCCGUGUAGCAGUUAUUGACGCGACUGAGGAGACGACAAUAAUGUUCAAAUAUGGGUAUGGCUUUGUCCACUCUACGCCUGAAAUAGGAAAGUACUUACCUAUGAUCAUCAUAAGUUUGGCUAUGCAACAGAAAAAAUAAUCUCGUUACAUGCACCACCUAACAAAGGGAAAGGGGUUCGUAGCUAAUAAAUCAAUCAAGCGACCACUCAGGCAAAAUCAUUAGACAUGCUAUCCAAUCCAUAGCUUGGUUGAACCCCUCACCAGAAAAGGAAGAAUGAAAACCGACUCAACAUGCAUUUGAACAUCAGCUAGAUUAGAUAGAAGAACCAACAGCCAGCCAGCAGAUGGGGAUUAUGAGCCUUGACCUAAAAAGAGAAGAGAACAUGACUAUGGUUUUAAAUUUCAUGGCUAGCUAGGUCCAAUAUGAUUGACGGGCACCCAUCGAACUCAAAGUCAAAGUGGUUAUCCAGAUUCCAUUGCACAGUGAUAAGUUGCCGGCUGCAGGACAGGGGGCAGGUGAAAAGGCCGUACAGCCAGAUGGAUGCAGACGAAUCGAGAACGGCCGGUAAGGAGUAGUUAGCAUUGUGUUCUUUUGUUCUUGGAUGUACUUGUAUUUCGUUCAGUUAUACUAACGAACACUAGUUCCAGCUCUAUUGGCUUACAUGAUUAGGAUUUUAAUUUGUAUGUACUUUGCAUUCUUGAGAAUCUGAGUUAUGGGCAAUUUCAUUGAUAGAGUAGAUAGAUAAAUGUAGGUGGGAGUACUUGUUUAUUAUGGUAAGAUGAUUAUAUGUGUGUGGGUGUCCUCGGGUCCUUUCUUUCCUAGCUUUUCAAGUUUUAUCAUAAUCAAGGUAUUAAAUAAACAUAGGUGGCUAGCUGUUGCAAAAACAAGAAAGAUGAUUGAGCAACAUAUUGCAUAUUUGCAUACAUCAUACAUGCAUGGGCGACCUUUUAUUUUAAUUAUUUUACUGGCAUGAGCCUUGAUCCCGUUUCUGAUUAUUAUUUUCAGGCCACCAUGAAGUGCUUUUGAGAAUACUGAUUAACACAACACUGCAUUGUAAAUGUGCCAUAGAUAAACAGAAAAAGAAAUCAUGCAACCACCGAAGGAAAAGAUAAAGACUCCCAAGCUCUUCAUUUUGGUUUAUGAGUUUCGUUGCUAUAUCUCUCUGAUGUUGCAUAUACCGGAAUGUUCUAAAAGCUAGUAGUGGCAAUAAUCACCUGGAUUGGAUCGGAUACUGCUCUUAUAAAAUCAGUGCGUCACUGUUUCAGCCAUCAUCGGCAGACUAUAGUUUAUCAAGUUGUGACCAAGUUCUGUUCUUAGCUGCAAAAGAACCAUGCCCUCUUACAUAUCGUCAUGGUGCAAAUAUAUUUUUCUCCAGGAUGUAACUAACUUUUCUGUUUUGUGCACUGUAACAUAGCAUGGAUGGCAAGCUUGGAACUGGGGUGACACCUGUUGAGACGCAUCGCAUUGCGUAAAGGGCUACAUUUCCAGAAGCAUAGAGAAACAUGCGCAUCACUCCCUUCUCAUUCGAUCAACAACACUUCACAAAGGGGCAAAACACAAAGAUAAAGAAAAAUUAACCAUCUCUUGGAAGCUAAGGGCCUUCUCUAAUAGUCAGCAAAGCUGUGAUCAAGUUGGCUUCUUCUGGAAUCUAUGUAUUACUUAUCAUAACGAUGAUCUGAGACAAUGUUAGUAGUACAAAAUUUGUAGCCUUAAAUAGCAAUACAUCUCAUUAAAUACUUGCCCUUUUUCACAACACAGGUCAAAAGUCUUCUAUGCUUUAUUGGGUAUGUGUAUAACAUCAAGAAGAAAAAGGUAGGACUUUAGCUACUAAAAUUGUGAAGCAACAUUGGGAAGCUAAAUAAAAUACUGAGGACAACAUAGUAGUUUAAAAAAGCUUUGCUUAGUAACGUUUUAAAAAGACAAAAGCUUUGCUUAGUAAUGUUUUAUGAAGGCAAAAGCUUGCUUAAGCAGAUUGGGGUUGUUAAAGUGCAGAUCAGUGCAAUACAUUAAGCACUCCCUAAUCAAUCAUCUAGCUGUGAAGUCCUGUAUUUAGGGGACAAGUUGUAAGAAAUCAUUGGCGGAUUAUUCUCAAUUCUCUUGGAAAAUUUAUGUUGGUUAACUUCUAAGAAAUGUGCAAGACCUAUUCAAGAUUUUUCUUCCACAGUAAGCAUGAUUGGUGCGCUAUUAAGAGUUGAUUGUAGGAGCACAUUUGGGAGGGGGGGGGGGGGGGGGGGGGGGACAGGAAACAAUUAUGAAUCAGGAUCCUCCUAACACAGCAGAAGUGAAACGAGCAAGUACUCUUGCCUAAAGUCCACUUUAUAGUCUCCCCCACUCGGAUUUUAGCAGAGGGUAUGCACGCCAAGCCUAGGAAUGACUAUGCUCUCUUUGUGAGGCAUGCGACAGGAUCUUGCUCUUUGCUCUUCCUAGUUUAGCCAAAUAUUUGAACCAAGUGUACAGUCGAAGCAUACAUGGAAAAAUUAAAUACUCCCUCCGUCCCGAAUUAACUAACUGACGUGGAUUUGUAUAAAAAUCUAUACAUAUCCACGUCAAUUAAUUUGGGACGGAGGUAGUAAAACACAUUGAUUCUACAAAAAGUGCCAUCAAAAUAACAAAGGCUGUUCAAUUUCCGCUGAGAUAUGGAAAAUCUCACGGUUUGAAACGGAGGUGCAUGUAAUGCGCUGUUCAAUACAAGCUCACUUUUCUAUAAAUGUGGCUUAUGUUCACCAAGUAGUUACGUCAGCAUUGCAGCAAUCUCCAGAAUUUCUUAAGAAACGUUGUAAUACAUUUAUUUAUUUCUCUUUCUACACCAGAAAACGUUUUCCACUCAUACACGUAGCGUACACAUACCUGCAAGUGUCUGAGUCUCUGACAGUAACAACCAAGGUGCUGUUUUCUUCAAGAAACGGACACCGAUAAGAGCUGCACAGAAGAACAAGGAUGCUGGGCCCGUGGCAAAGCUUAGGAACAGUUGAAAGCACUUCCAGGAACCUGGUCCGACAUGAAUGUAGGCCAUGCAAGCACCUAACGCAUAAUCAUCACGCAUUCCUGUGUCCUCCAAAGUUGGUACAAUAUCGCACAUCUCCUUUGACCUGAUAGACAUGCACGCGUGUGUGUUAGCUAGGGAGAUAAGCCCCACAUUGUACAGAAGACACCAUGUUACACACGUUGUCUGGCCAUCUCAUGAUUCAUCGAAAACUUCAGUAACUUAGGAAAAGUAAACCUAAUUUGGUAUGAUUCUAAGACAAGAUACAACAAUAAUGUCGUAGAGAUCAUAUAGACUACCCUUCAUACAAAGCAUAUACUCCUUCCGAUCCAUAUUAGUUGUCAAAAUAUUACAUGUAUCUAGAUGCUUUUUAUGCAUAGAUACAUCCAUAUUUGCGCAAAUUUGAGACAAUUAAUAUGGAUCAGAGGGAGUAUCUUAUUUAUUUUUAAAUGGUGCGGUGCUGUAGCUUGGUACUUUGAUCCCCAAAGGUGUGGGAUACGAAUCCCUGUUCCCAUAAUCAGAAAUAAAAAGAAAACCUCCCUACACACCGUGCCAACGUUAAUCAAUAUCUUCCGACCUGUAACAACACUUGUGUAUAACAAAAGUAGCAAUAUUAACUAGGAAGCAAACCUUUCACUUUUGGCUACGCCUUUUUUUGUACUUUGGCAGCUUGGUUUCACGUAAGAUAAUAUGAUGUAUUCCCAUGUGUAGGGUGAGGUUCAAUAUGGCUAGACUUCUGACUUGUUAGGGGUGGGCCUACUGUGAUGAGAAAGGUUAAAGUGAGACUUGUGACUGAUCUAAUGUAAGAUAUAGUGCACCUGCCUUAUGUAGUUCAAACAAUAACAUUCCGAUUCACGAGGGGGGGGGGGCUUACAUUAUCACAAUCUUAUGUGAUCAACUCAAAAAAUUGUUCAUUGUAGUGUGCAUGUGGACACAAAAAAAAUUCAGCAUUUCAUGCUCGCAGUUUUAUUUGCAGAAAUGUUACAGGAAUCGUUCUUCAAAUGUUGCAAUAGCGUUACAGAGAAAACUUGUAUUUUAGCUUCUCAGUGAAAUUGUGUACUUACAUUAAACUUGUCUGAGAAAUCCCUUCAUCUACAUUUGUUUACGAAAGUUGAACCUUUGAGAAACUCCCAAUAAAAAUGAAGACCGAAAUAAGACAAUGAUACUUAGCAGGUUUAGACCUUGGAAGCAAGUUUAAAACUUUACGGAAAAAAAAGGUAGACAAUUCAAACCUUUGGAAUUACUUGAUGGAAGAAUUAUUGCUGAAGCAGUUGAAAACAGUGGCUAGCAGCUCGCUUAUUCUAUACGCACUCCAGCUGCCCUGUUGCAUCUCGCAGUCCUCUCUGACCAGGAAACCACCCUUCUCUCCCUUCCCUACAUGCAUCCCAGCGUCCUACUAUAUAAAGCACCCCAUCCCCACAUCAUUUGAUCACCCACAAGAAGAGAAGUAGAAGCAAACAAGUAGCAAGUUGGCAACUCUCUUAUAUCACUUGUAACGAAGUGCAGCAAAGGAAUUACUUACAUGGCGAUUUCCAUGGGUUGCUUGGUGGUGCUCUGUGUUGUCUGUCCUCUCCUCCUUGCAGGUGCUGUCCGUGCCAAUCCAUGGUACGGCUUGUUCCCACAGUUCUACGACCAAUCGUGCCCAAAGGCAAAGGAGAUUGUGCAAUCCAUCGUGGCACAGGCUGUUGCCCAAGAGACCAGGAUGGCAGCAUCCUUGGUCAGGCUGCAUUUCCAUGACUGCUUUGUCAAGGUCUCUGCUUCCUCUUUACUGCAGUAUCCCUUACUUGUUUCUACAAUGAUAUAAUGAUGCUUGCUGAACAUAGUUCCUGUAAUUUAGUACAGAAACAUACAUGCUUUAAUGUUAGUGUAUGAAUAAUACAAUCAGCUAAACAAUUUAUUAGUUAAGUUCAGCAGUUUGAAUCCUUAACGUGCAAAGUGUUCAGUUAUAACUUAAGCUUUUGCUAUAAAUUUGUCCUUGCAUUUGAAACCGUGUCCGGAGGACCAGAAAAGAAUCUCUAGUUUUUAGGCUAACUUUUUAGUAUUUACCAAUGAUAAGAUAAGAUAGCCUACCUACACAGCUACAUUGCCCAUGAUGAGCACUACCUUAUGUCUUCUUGACAUGAUCGAGUCUGUACGAUGAAUGCUUUUCCCCAACAAAAACAGAUGGUGAUUACUCAAAUCAAAUGCACAAUAAUUGGAGGUCUAUGCAAUGGUCGUCCUUCACUUAAUGCAUGUACCAAUGUACCUGAUCAAUCGACACUAUUUUGUUGCAUGUGCCCAAUCUAUGUACUACCCACAUGCCUGAUUUAUCCACCAACAUUUUCUGACAUCUUUUCUUCUUGUGAGUAUAGGGGUGUGAUGCAUCCGUGCUGCUGGACAAUAGCAGCAGCAUAGUCAGCGAGAAGGGUUCCAAUCCCAAUCUAAACUCCCUCCGGGGGUUCGAGGUCGUCGACCAAAUCAAGGUCGCCCUUGAGAUGGCCUGCCCCGGCACCGUCUCCUGUGCUGACAUCCUUGCCCUCGCCGCCCGUGACUCCACUGUCCUCGUAUGUGAACAACACAAGUAACUCUGUUCCUAGUUAGCAAGAACUAAACAAUUCAGUAUGUUUGAUUUUUCGGGACCCAAAUUGACCUACAGGUUGGUGGCCCAUACUGGGACGUGCCACUCGGCCGGAGGGACUCUCUUGGCGCGAGCAUCCAGGGCUCCAACAAUGACCUCCCUGCCCCCAACAAUACCCUCCCCACCAUCAUCACCAAGUUCAAGCGCCUUGGCCUCAACAUCGUGGAUGUCGUCGCCCUCUCAGGUGGCCACACCAUCGGCAUGUCCCGAUGCACCAGCUUUCGGCAGAGGCUGUACAACCAGUCGGGCAACGGCAGGGCCGACGGCACACUGGAUGUGUCCUACGCGGCACAACUGAGGCAGGGGUGCCCCCGCUCUGGCGGCGACAACAACCUCUUCCCACUGGACGUCGUCAGCCCAGCCAAGUUUGACAACCUGUACUUCAAGAACAUCCUGGCUGGCAAGGGCCUCCUCAGCUCUGACGAGGUCCUGCUCACCAAGAGCGCCGAGACAGCGGCGCUCGUCAAG
RNAcentral lists this long non-coding RNA (7822 nucleotides) under Brachypodium distachyon (stiff brome). RNAcentral's name for it is "long non-coding RNA (BDIS_LNC001687)". The stretch from base 5050 to 5174 matches the Rfam family "MIR1120/MIR1122 microRNA precursor family". Lineage: Eukaryota; Viridiplantae; Streptophyta; Magnoliopsida; Poales; Poaceae. The record is from RNAcentral.